GGUCAAUGAUGAUUGGUAAAAGGUCUGAUUGCACCUAAAUCACGAUCCCUGCCCUCGGCUCCCAGCCACCCCUGCACUCCCCAUGCAUCCGAGCUGUGCUUGAGGGGCAGUGGAGUGGCUGACAGUGUGGGACUGUGUCGGUGAGUUCUCCUGCGAGUGCCCGGGGCCCGGCCGGCAAUGUCCAACAGAGCCCAUACAAGGAGUCUGACGAGUGCAGUCGGCGUGAUGGUGCCUGAUCUCAAGUUUUCAAUCUGAGCCU
Suncus etruscus (white-toothed pygmy shrew) is the source of this 259-nucleotide non-coding RNA. RefSeq annotates it as small Cajal body-specific RNA 6. The record is from RefSeq and is a predicted model, not a curated record. The transcript has a single exon. NCBI's taxonomy places the organism in Eukaryota, Metazoa, Chordata, Mammalia, Eulipotyphla, Soricidae.